This 669-nucleotide long non-coding RNA is filed under the name Nicotiana benthamiana. RNAcentral describes it as "long non-coding RNA (NBEN_LNC016460)". The record is from RNAcentral. Lineage: Eukaryota; Viridiplantae; Streptophyta; Magnoliopsida; Solanales; Solanaceae.
UUUGUUCGUUUCUUUUGUAUCGUACGGAUCAUACUAAAAGAAAAGAAGGGAUAGUCUUUACAUACCUGAGCCGAUUCAAUUGACAAUCCUUCUAACACCGACAACAUGAAAUGACGAAUCGAAAUAAAAAAAAAUCUAUAUAACAUUCUAGAUAAAUAUUACACCGUACUUCCCUUAAUUUUCAAAAUCUCACGUCGUUACUCCGAUCAUUGCAAAUCACGCAUGCAAUCUCUCAUUGCAACGUGAUACUUCAUCUUCUAAUCUUAAGGGGCCAUAUAUAUAUAUAUAUUCUUAACCACAACUAUAACAUUACAAAUAAGACCCCAACAUGAUGAACUUUCCAAUCUAUGUUCUGAAAUUAGUUUAUUUAGUGGUAGAAGCCAGAUGCGUGAAACAAUUGAUAGACUACCAAAAAUAACUCCCCUAUCAAUACUACAUCCACCUUCCAUCGCUGGAGAACAUCCAAACUUAAGCUCUAGACAAGAAGCUUCUAUCAGUUCCACAAGUUACAUUUCUCAAGCACCCACCCGAGAGGCCAACACUCUAUCAGAAAACACCUUCAGCACCUUAACAAGAAGAAAUAAUAGUAGUCUUCAAAUAUAGAGUGACAACCACAAGGCCCAAUAGAAGGUGUAGACACUCCUAUCACUAAUGUGAUUAAGUUGACAA